GAAUCCAUCCUACAUCUGGAGCAGUCACCCAGGCCUGUCUGCCUCCCAGUGUCCUCCUCCCAGUCUUCAGCCCUCUGCCCAGUAGCCCGAGAUGAGCCCACAGUCAAGGUGAUGAGUGUGGUGGGGCCAGAGGGAAAAAAUAUGUUGCAUGCUUCAUUUUAAAGAUUAGAAAGCCACUACCCUGGAGUGUGGCUGAAACAUUUUGGAAGAUUGUUUGCCAAGCAGAUAUUUUUCUUCUGUAAACACACACUAGACAGAAAUCCCAUGGGCUGAUGCCAGGAGCGAAUAGUCAGAGAGGAAGUAAGAAGUUUAGGCCCUUGUGAACUGUCUCUUCAGGCUGAGUUGGGGGGUGCCUGCUUGAUGGAACCCUUAGAUAAAUUUGGGGAUAAAUCAGACUAGGAGAAAAAUCAUAGCCCAAAAUGUGAUAGAAAAAACCCUGAGAAACCUGUAAAUUCUCUUACGCUGUGCA
This 469-nucleotide long non-coding RNA is filed under the name Callithrix jacchus (white-tufted-ear marmoset). RNAcentral's name for it is "lncRNA (ENSCJAG00000068749.2)". The record is from RNAcentral. Lineage: Eukaryota; Metazoa; Chordata; Mammalia; Primates; Cebidae.